GGCCUGUUAGUGAAAUUGGAUAUCACGAGACGCUUCGAACGUCUUAUUCCGGGUUCGAAUCCUGGGCGGGCUAC
RNAcentral lists this transfer RNA (74 nucleotides) under Fuerstiella marisgermanici. RNAcentral describes it as "Fuerstia marisgermanicae tRNA-Arg". It matches the Rfam family "tRNA". From Rfam's summary of the family: Transfer RNA (tRNA) molecules are approximately 80 nucleotides in length. Their secondary structure includes four short double-helical elements and three loops (D, anti-codon, and T loops). Lineage: Bacteria; Pseudomonadati; Planctomycetota; Planctomycetia; Planctomycetales; Planctomycetaceae. The record is from RNAcentral.